RNAcentral lists this ribosomal RNA (252 nucleotides) under uncultured bacterium. RNAcentral's name for it is "partial 16S ribosomal RNA". It matches the Rfam family "Bacterial small subunit ribosomal RNA", at positions 524 to 776 of the family's 1533-position model. The record is from RNAcentral.
UACGUAGGUCCCGAGCGUUGUCCGGAUUUAUUGGGCGUAAAGCGAGCGCAGGUGGUUUAUUAAGUCUGGUGUAAAAGGCAGUGGCUCAACCAUUGUAUGCAUUGGAAACUGGUAGACUUGAGUGCAGGAGAGGAGAGUGGAAUUCCAUGUGUAGCGGUGAAAUGCGUAGAUAUAUGGAGGAACACCGGUGGCGAAAGCGGCUUACUGGACUGUAAAUGACGCUGAGGCUCGAAAGCGUGGGGAGCAAACAGG